AAUUCCCAGGCUAGGGGUUGAAUCAGAGCUGUAACAGCUGCCAGCCUACACCACAGCCACAGCAACACAGGAUAUAAGCCAUGUCUGCGAUCCAUACUACAGCUCAGGCAAUGUCGGAUCCUUAACCCACAGGGCGAGCCCAGGGGUUGAACCUGCAUCCUCAUGGAUACUAGUCAGGUUCAUUACCUCUGAGCCACAGCAGGAACUCCUAAAAAUGAUAUUAUUAUAGGAUUAACUAAAUAAAUACUUAUCUAAAAUGAGGAUUAGUAGCUUAUCUGAAAAGAUAAACACAUCACCCUGAUCAUUUCCUUGGCAUUGAACCCUUCUGUUCAGAAAUUGAGGGCUCUCAGACAGCAAAGCACUAAAUCAGAAUGCAUAAGCCUCUCAAGAUUGUAGUUUUUUCAUCUUUUUUCUGAUACCUAUUAUUUCUCUCUCUCUUGCCCUUUUGUCUAGAGGAAAGAACACUUGAAUUUUUAAAAUGUAAAACAGAUAAUUUCUUCCACUGUGUAUAUGAAGAAAAAUCCUAACCCUCUUUGAGCAUUGCCUUAUUUAGCUAGCCAUAUAAAAAUGAAACCUCAAAAGGCUCUGAUCUUUAUCUUCAAAGCUCAGUGUGAGUUAGAGAAAAGAUUUUAUAGUUUUUUGAACUCUAAAUUCAGAUCAGUAUGAACCAUCUGCUUCAUUUAGUAUCUUAUGAAAAAGAAGCUUCAGAUGUUUAUAACACAACAGAUUUUAGGGGGAAAAAACCAUGUCCUUGUGUUUAGAUAGGAGCAGAUCUUUGAACAUUUUAGCAUUUCUCAGAUGUGAAGUCUUCCUACCUCCAUUUCAUUCAGUAACACACCUCCGGUUCAGAAAAAUCUCAAAAUCAGCUGCUCAGUAUUUCUACCAUAGACUCUCACUAGAUGACUUCAAACUCACCAGCAUGGAGGGGCACUGCCCCAGGAUUAAGCAACAGUACUCCUGACUUCAUCAGACAGAGCCACCGAUUGACAUCCUCUGUCCCAGACCUAAAACCCCUUUCACCUUUCCCCCGCUGCUUUAUCUUCUCUCUCUCUCUCUCUCUUUUUUUUUUUCCUGCACCAGCCGCAUAUGGAAGUUCCCAGGGCAGGGGUUGGAUCCAAGCUGCAGCUGCAAUGCAUCAGCUGCAGAGACAAUGUGAGAUCCUCAAACUGCUGCACCACAGCGGCCACUCCUCCCCCAGUUUCUCUGAUGAUUAAAAAAAUAAUAAUUUUACCUGGAACUUUAUUUGACAGAUUAUUGAUAGUAGUGCUGGGUGGAGAAAAUGAGCUGCAGAUGUGUCUUGAUGAAAAGUCAGAUUUUCCCCUGAUCAUGGGUGGGAGAGAAAGUGGGGGUAACUGUGCUGUUUGUCAAGGAGAAGAGGGGAAGGGACUUCUCGGGGUGAAGGGCAGGGAAAGGAGGGGGAAAUUGAUCGAUCCUCCCUAUUGAUUAUGUCCCUCUUGCUAUAAUAAUAAUAAUAUAAUGUGGGGGAAACCACGCUGUUUGUCAAAUGAUUCAAUUAGGAGAAGAAUAUAUAAGGCUUUGCUAGAGGCAAGAGUUUCUUAGGACCAUAUACACUUUGGUUAAAAAAAAACUUUUUUAAAACAGCAAAAAAUAUAUACAUAUAUACUUACAUAUAUACUCUCUCUCUCUCUCUCUCUCUCUCUCUCUAUAUAUAUAUAUAUAUAUAUAUAUAUUCCUGAAAAAUUUGAGGAGCUACCUAUCAAUUUCCUCAAUGGCAACAAGACAAAUAUAAAAGCCCCAAUCGCUGCCAACCAGAUUUUAAGAGCAAAGGGUCUCUCUUAAAAUGUGGUAUUUGCUCUACAUAAUAGCAGCUUAGAAUAAACAAAAUACGAAAGGAGAGCUCACAUGUUAACUUCUGGCGGCCUUUCCCAAUGUUCGAACAGGAAAUGAGGUUAGAUAUUAACAUCUGACCUCCUCUCUCAGGCAAGCAGUGGGCCCUUAAGAUGGGCAUGGGAGGCGAAGCUGGCCUGCAGCCACACACUUGGGGGACAAAGGGUUCCAAAGCUGAAGUGUCCGUUGAAGUAGCCUUGAGAAGCCAAGUGUCGUUAGCAUCAGCUGGACCCGUUGCUUUAGGCUGUAAGAAACAGCCUAGAGAGAAGUGAUAGAGACUCUGUCUGGGAACUCUAAGAUCUGAGUUCAAAUCCUAGCUUUGUAACCUAACCAGCUGUGUGACCGGGGCAAGUAUUUAAUCUCUGUACCUCUGUUUUCAUAUCUUCAAAGUGAGAGAAGCAACGAACCUAUAGCUUUGUAAUAAGCCUUAACUACAAGCAUUUCUUAAGGAACUUAGCAUAUGGUAACAAGUAAUAGAGUCCCCUCCUGCAACAGAGUUAAACAUUUAAGAAGUGUGUGAGACCACACGUAACCAGAGGCCCAGAGGGAGAGUGCGCGUCACAGGUGACGGCGUGAGCAGCACGAUACGGUCAUCACCUCUGUUCUGCCACCCUCAGCAAUGACUUUCUCUUCUCGCUGGUGGCACCUGGGUACAGCAUCUCCAAGCAGCACAUCUAGAAAGAGGAUGUGUUUCUUUCUGUGGCUUUCUUUUAAGAGGGAAAGGUAACAUUUUGGAGAAAUUCUUCCUUGGACUUCCUCUGACAUCUCAUUGAGCAGAAUUGAUCUAUUGGCAAAGGAAGUGAAUGGGUUACUCUUGGGCCAAUCAAUUCCGCUUUUGAAGCUGGGGCUGGGAAGGAAGUGAAUGUCUACCUGGUGUUUGAAGUCCCUCCGAAAAUCAUGCGGCUGUGGAGGUUAGCGAUGGUAGAGAACAAGCACCAGAUCGCCAACAGCAGUGCCUACAGCUCGUGUGGACAGAGAGCAAGAACAGGCCACGGCGGUGAAAUAGGAUGGCACAAGAAGGUGAAAGAGGCAGAGCGAGGAGAGGCCAACUGAAGUCAUUUUGCCCUCUACAAGGGGGCUGUUUAAAGAGCAUGGGCAAAGCCUACAAGUGCAGAGAAAGCUGCAAAGGACACCAAAUGUCCCCCUAAUUCCUCAUUUGUUCUUU
RNAcentral lists this long non-coding RNA (3013 nucleotides) under Sus scrofa (pig). RNAcentral describes it as "lncRNA (ENSSSCG00000057623.1)". Lineage: Eukaryota; Metazoa; Chordata; Mammalia; Artiodactyla; Suidae. The record is from RNAcentral.